AUAGGGGAGCCGCAGGGAAACCGAGUCUUAACCGGGCGUUAAGUUGCAGGGUAUAGACCCGAAACCCGGUGAUCUAGCCAUGGGCAGGUUGAAGGUUGGGUAACACUAACUGGAGGACCGAACCGACUAAUGUUGAAAAAUUAGCGGAUGACCUGUGGCUGGGGGUGAAAGGCCAAUCAAACCGGGAGAUAGCUGGUUCUCCCCGAAAGCUAUUUAGGUAGCGCCUCGUGAACUCAUCUUCGGGGGUAGAGCACUGUUUCGGCUAGGGGGUCAUCCCGACUUACCAACCCGAUGCAAACUGCGAAUACCGGAGAAUGUUAUCACGGGAGACACACGGCGGGUGCUAACGUCCGUCGUGAAGAGGGAAACAACCCAGACCGCCAGCUAAGGUCCCAAAGUCAUGGUUAAGUGGGAAACGAUGUGGGAAGGCCCAGACAGCCAGGAUGUUGGCUUAGAAGCAGCCAUCAUUUAAAGAAAGCGUAAUAGCUCACUGGUCGAGUCGGCCUGCGCGGAAGAUGUAACGGGGCUAAACCAUGCACCGAAGCUGCGGCAGCGACGCUUAUGCGUUGUUGGGUAGGGGAGCGUUCUGUAAGCCGUUGAAGGUGGCCUGUGAGGGUUGCUGGAGGUAUCAGAAGUGCGAAUGCUGACAUAAGUAACGAUAAAGCGGGUGAAAAGCCCGCUCGCCGGAAGACCAAGGGUUCCUGUCCAACGUUAAUCGGGGCAGGGUGAGUCGACCCCUAAGGCGAGGCCGAAAGGCGUAGUCGAUGGGAAACAGGUUAAUAUUCCUGUACUCGGUGUUACUGCGAAGGGGGGACGGAGAAGGCUAUGUUGGCCGGGCGACGGUUGUCCCGGUUUAAGCAUGUAGGCGGGUGUUCCAGGUAAAUCCGGAACGCUGUUAACGCUGAGGUGUGAUGACGAGGCACUACGGUGCUGAAGCAACAAAUGCCCUGCUUCCAGGAAAAGCCUCUAAGCAUCAGGUAACAUCAAAUCGUACCCCAAACCGACACAGGUGGUCAGGUAGAGAAUACCAAGGCGCUUGAGAGAACUCGGGUGAAGGAACUAGGCAAAAUGGUGCCGUAACUUCGGGAGAAGGCACGCUGAUGGUAGGUGAAGUGAUUUACUCAUGGAGCUGAAAUCAGUCGAAGAUACCA
Molecule: ribosomal RNA, 1151 nt
Filed under: Salmonella enterica
Lineage: Bacteria; Pseudomonadati; Pseudomonadota; Gammaproteobacteria; Enterobacterales; Enterobacteriaceae
Description: partial 23S ribosomal RNA
Rfam family: Bacterial large subunit ribosomal RNA
Source: RNAcentral